This 72-nucleotide transfer RNA is filed under the name Anaerolineaceae bacterium. RNAcentral's name for it is "tRNA-His". It matches the Rfam family "tRNA". Rfam says of the family: Transfer RNA (tRNA) molecules are approximately 80 nucleotides in length. The record is from RNAcentral. Lineage: Bacteria; Bacillati; Chloroflexota; Anaerolineae; Anaerolineales; Anaerolineaceae.
GUGGGUGUAGCUCAAUGGCAGAGCGCCGCUCUGUGGAAGCGGAUGUUGUGGGUUCGAAACCCAUCACCCACC